AACGAACGCUGGCGGCAUGCCUAACACAUGCAAGUCGAACGAAACCUUCGGGCUUAGUGGCGCACGGGGUCGCAACGCGUGGGAACAUGCGCUUAGGUUCGGAAUAACUCCCCGAAAGGGGUGCUAAUAACGGGUACUGUUAUCGGAUAAAAGUUUUAUCGCCUUUGGUUGGGCCCGCGUUGUUUUGGUUAGUUGGUAGGGUAAACGCCAACCAAGGCGACGGUCCAUAGUUGGUCUGCUAGGCGGACCAGCGACACUGGGACUGGGGCACGGCCCAGACUGCGGCGGGAGGGGGCAGUGGGGAAUAUUGGGCGAUGGGCUGAAGCAUGGUCCACCAGUGCCGCGUGAGUGCUUAAGGGUUUAGAGUUGUAAAGCUCUGUUACCCGGGAUGAUAGUGACGGUACCGAGAGAAUAAGCACCGGCUAACUCCGUG
This 433-nucleotide ribosomal RNA is filed under the name uncultured bacterium. RNAcentral's name for it is "partial 16S ribosomal RNA". It matches the Rfam family "Bacterial small subunit ribosomal RNA", at positions 29 to 507 of the family's 1533-position model. The record is from RNAcentral.